This 239-nucleotide ribosomal RNA is filed under the name uncultured bacterium. RNAcentral's name for it is "partial 16S ribosomal RNA". It matches the Rfam family "Bacterial small subunit ribosomal RNA", at positions 524 to 762 of the family's 1533-position model. The record is from RNAcentral.
UACGUAGGGACCAAGCGUUGUCCGGAAUCAUUGGGCGUAAAGCGCGCGUAGGUGGCCAUUUAAGUCCGCUGUGAAAGUCAAAGGCUCAACCUUUGAAAGCCGGUGGAUACUGGAUGGCUAGAGUACGGAAGAGGCGAGUGGAAUUCCUGGUGUAGCGGUGGAAUGCGCAGAUAUCAGGAGGAACACCAAUAGCGAAGGCAGCUCGCUGGGACGUUACUGACACUGAGGCGCGAAAGCCG